CGGCUCAGUAACACGUGGAUAACCUACCCUCAGAUCUGGGAUAACUCCGGGAAACUGGAGAUAAUACCGGAUAAUCCGUGAACGCUGGAAUGCCUUACGGUUGAAAGCUUUAGCGUCUGAGGAUGGGUCUGCGGCCGAUUAGGUAGUUGCUGGGGUAACGUCCCAACAAGCCGAUAAUCGGUACGGGUUGUGAGAGCAAGAGCCCGGAGAUGGAUUCUGAGACACGAAUCCAGGUCCUACGGGGCGCAGCAGGCGCGAAAACUUUACACUGCGCGAAAGCGCGAUAAGGGGACCUCGAGUGCGUGCGCAAAGCGUACGCUUUUCAGAUGCCUAAAAAGCAUCUGGAAUAAGGGCCGGGCAAGACCGGUGCCAGCCGCCGCGGUAACACCGGCGGCUCAAGUGGUGGCCGCUAUUAUUGGGCUUAAAGGGUCCGUAGCCGGACCAGUUAGUCCCUUGGGAAAUCUUACGGCUUAACCGUAAGGCUGCCAAUGGAUACUGCUGGUCUUGGGACCGGGAGAGGCAAGAGGUACCUCAGGGGUAGGAGUGAAAUCCUGUAAUCCUUGAGGGACCGCCAGUGGCGAAGGCGUCUUGCUAGAACGGGUCCGACGGUGAGGGACGAAAGCUAGGGGCACGAACCGGAUU
Molecule: ribosomal RNA, 642 nt
Filed under: uncultured euryarchaeote
Lineage: Archaea; Methanobacteriati; Methanobacteriota
Description: bacterial SSU rRNA
Rfam family: Archaeal small subunit ribosomal RNA
Source: RNAcentral